GAAUUUUGGACAAUGGGCGAAAGCCUGAUCCAGCAAUGCCGCGUGCAGGAUGAAGGCCUUCGGGUUGUAAACUGCUUUUGUACGGAACGAAAAGCUUUGGGUUAAUACCCUGGAGUCAUUCCGGUACCGUCAGAAUAAGCACCGGCUAACACCGUUCCACAGGCCGCGGUAAUACGUAGGGUGCAAGCGUUAAUAGGAAUUACUGGGCGUAAAGCGUGCGCAGGCGGUGUUGUAAGACAGAGGUGAAAGCCCCGGGCUCAAUCUGGGAACUGCCUUUGUGACUGCAAGGCUAGAGUACGGCAGAGGGAGGUGGAAUUCCGCGUGUAGCAGUGAAAUGCGUAGAUAUGCGGAGGAACACCGAUGGCGAAGGCAACCCCCUGGGCCUGUACUGACGCUCAUGCACGAAAGCGUGGGGAGCAAACAUG
RNAcentral lists this ribosomal RNA (425 nucleotides) under uncultured bacterium. RNAcentral describes it as "partial 16S ribosomal RNA". It matches the Rfam family "Bacterial small subunit ribosomal RNA", at positions 359 to 776 of the family's 1533-position model. The record is from RNAcentral.